ACACAGCGCGUGCAGGGGUUCUCGCAGCAGAGUUGAGCUGAAUGCCUAGUGUUGCUCACCCAGCUUUAAACAACUGGAUCAACCAUGUUUGGGAGGAAUUUACUUGCGUUUUGUCUCCUCCUGUGUGCUACCAGCUGCUCAGCUGACGAUGCUGCAACAUCUAAGUCAAGAACUCUUCAGCCCUGGUUGGUUGGUCUGUCAGCUGUCGUUGGCUUCCUGCUGAUUGUAUUUACUAUCCUGAUCCUAAAUAAACUACUAAAUAAAAAAAGGAAGACAGAAGACCAAUGGGACUAUGAGAAGUCUACAGAGAUCCUUCAUCCGGAUGUAAACGUAACCAAUAUGUAGAAACCCAUCCGCUUAAGAAACAAAGCUACUCCACCCACACUUCAUCCGUGACACAUCUUUUCUCAACAACGAACAAUGGCUGCAUUUAAUUUACACUAUUAUCCUAUGGAAUGAGGACCUUUGUUAAAGUCAUCUUUUCUAUAAGUUUUGCAAUUCUGCUAAAACAGCAGGACUUUGUCAUUUUACAAUGAGGUAAUUUAAUUGCAGAUGUUCCUCUUAAAGAUCACAGUUAUGCAAAUGUGAAUGAAAACGAGAAGUCACCAAGAAUGUAAAUAAAGACAAGAAAUAUGAGUACAUUGUGCAUGUAGAGAUGGUGUUAAAUAAUGACAAAUUUAAGUAACUUGUGGCUGUUUAUUAUAAUUUUAUUUUAAAGACGUUUUGGCAUUUGGAGAUCGUUUCAUUUUAAAAAUGACAAGCUGAAAGUUUUAAGUCACCACUGAAUUCUUAAUGUAACAUCAAAAGUUGGGCUCAAAAUGAUCUAUACACCUGGUAGAUUUAGAUCUAUAGUAUUCUUUUAAUAAUAUGCAUCUUCUGACUGAAAGUAAUAAUAAUGUUUGGGUGUGUUCCAGCCAGUCAUACAAUGAGGACUUCCAUUCUCCAAGACUUGGAGCUUAUCAUAAAGUUCAAUUGUUAGAAAGAUACAAGUGGAAACAUGCAAAAAGUUUGUCAGCAGUGAGAAAUGUUUGUUUGUUGUAAUGCAAAUCAACCCUUGAGAUGGAUAUAAAUAAUUUUCGUCAUAUAAUUUUUGUUAAAAUGUCAGUAAAAACAGAUUAUUUUAAAUGAUA
Long non-coding RNA from Fundulus heteroclitus (mummichog), 1130 nucleotides. RefSeq lists it as uncharacterized. The transcript has 3 exons. Lineage: Eukaryota; Metazoa; Chordata; Actinopteri; Cyprinodontiformes; Fundulidae. The record is from RefSeq and is a predicted model, not a curated record.